UCUCUCUCUCUAUGAGUCUUGUUCUGUUCUGCAGUCAGUGGUUGUGGUUAUGCCUCUCCCUCUCUCCCUUUCUCUCUCCUUCUCUCUCCCUCACCAUAUCUCCCUCUCUCUCUCCCCUCCUCUCUCUCCCCCCUCGCUCUCUCUCUCCCCUGCUCUCCCUCCCUCUCUCUCGCUCUGUAUCGCUCUGAGUCUUGUUAUGUUCUGCAGUUAGUGGUUGUGUUUCGCAGCUCAAACAACACACAUAGUUUAACAGCAGGUUGCCACACACAUUGACACAAACGUGAAUGCAAGAAAGUACCUACACACAUGCAAGUGCACGCACGCACGCACACACAAACACCCACACACACUGGAUAUUUAACACCCGGGACAUCUUGAGUGUUUAACAGAGAAUCGAUACACUUAGUCUCAACAGCUCAACAGACAGGUGAAAGAGCUUCAGUGGGGAGGAGUAAUGUAGAAGAGUGAGAUAUGACCUCAUUCUGGACACACACACACACACACACACACACACACACACACACACACACACACACACACACACACACACACACACACACACACACACACACACACACACACGCACACAUGGUUUCUCUGUUCUGGUUUGUGGUUGACAUGGAUAAGGGUACAGGCUAUGAGUCGCUCUCUGAAACAUCUUGCCAAAUUCCUAGGGAAGCCUGUCAGUCGGGCCCACAUCACAGAAACAAAGCAGAUAUUCUGCACUGUGUCAACAGAGCUCCAACAUACUCAUCUUGUAAUAUAAAGCUGUAGUGUUUAAGAAUGUAACAGACUAUAUCUGAGCUAGCUACUAGCGGUUUGACACUAUGGCUUAUGUCACUGUCUGCAUAUGGGUUUUAUGGGACAGUCUAGUGAGAGUCUGUCUGUUCAUCGGUUUGUACACACUGGGAUCACCUACAUUAUAUGGCCCGUCUCUCCCCAUAGGGGGGUUUCAUGUCACUCACUGAUCCUCAGGAUCAACAACAGUGACAGCCAGGCAGACAGAGCCAGCUAUGGGCCAGGGGAGAGAGACCGAAACACUAAGUAAACGGCUUGCCUUCGGUUCACAGUCUAACACUUCCUAAAUCCUGAUGCUGCCGUUGACCACCUUUUGACCCGGCAGAGAGAGAGCGAGAGAGAGAGAGAGAGAAAGGCAGAGAGAAAGAGAGAGAGAGAGAGAGAGAGAGAGAGUGAGAGAAAGAGAGAGAAAGGCAGAGAGAGAGAGAGAGAGAGAGAGAGAGAGAGAGAAAGGCAGAGAGAGAGAGAGAGAG
Long non-coding RNA from Oncorhynchus tshawytscha (Chinook salmon), 1271 nucleotides. The record is from Ensembl. Lineage: Eukaryota; Metazoa; Chordata; Actinopteri; Salmoniformes; Salmonidae.